AGAGUUUGAUCCUGGCUCAGAUUGAACGCCAGCGGCGUGCUUAACACAUGCAAGUCGAGCGAGAAAGGCCCCUUCGGGGGCUGAGUAGAGCGGCGCACGGGUGAGUAACGCGUGGAUGAUCUACCCUUGGGAUCGGGAUAACAGUGGGAAACCGCUGCUAAUACCGGGUACGCUUCAUGCAUCGCGGCAUGAAGGAAAGGCGGCCUCUGACAUAAGCGGCCGCCCAAGGAUGAGUCCGCGUCCUAUUAGCUUGUUGGCGGGGUAACGGCCCACCAAGGCUACGAUGGGUAGCUGGUUUGAGAGGAUGACCAGCCACACUGGGACUGGAACACGGCCCAGACUCCUACGGGAGGCAGCAGUGGGGAAUAUUGCGCAAUGGGCGAAAGCCUGACGCAGCGACGCCGCGUGAGGGAAGAAGGCCUUCGGGUCGUAAACCUCUGUCAGGAGGGAAGAACCGCUUGAAGCUGAAUAGGCUUUAAGCCUGACGGUACCUCCAAAGGAAGCACCGGCUAACUCCGUGCCAGCCGCCGCGGUAAUAC
Molecule: ribosomal RNA, 539 nt
Filed under: uncultured bacterium
Lineage: Bacteria
Description: bacterial SSU rRNA
Rfam family: Bacterial small subunit ribosomal RNA
Source: RNAcentral